RNAcentral lists this ribosomal RNA (432 nucleotides) under uncultured bacterium. RNAcentral's name for it is "partial 16S ribosomal RNA". It matches the Rfam family "Bacterial small subunit ribosomal RNA", at positions 29 to 506 of the family's 1533-position model. The record is from RNAcentral.
AGCGAACGCUGGCGGCAGGCCUAACACAUGCAAGUCGAACGAACUCUUCGGAGUUAGUGGCGGACGGGUGAGUAACACGUGGGAACGUGCCUUUUGGUUCGGAAUAACUCAGGGAAACUUAUGCUAAUACCGAAUGUGCCCUUCGGGGGAAAGAUUUAUCGCCAUUAGAGCGGCCCGCGUCUGAUUAGCUAGUUGGUGAGGUAACGGCUCACCAAGGCGACGAUCAGUAGCUGGUCUGAGAGGAUGACCAGCCACACUGGGACUGAGACACGGCCCAGACUCCUACGGAAGGCAGCAGUGGGGAAUCUUGCGCAAUGGGCGAAAGCCUGACGCAGCCAUGCCGCGUGAAUGAUGAAGGUCUUAGGAUUGUAAAAUUCUUUCACCGGGGACGAUAAUGACGGUACCCGGAGAAGAAGCCCCGGCUAACUUCGU